Molecule: unclassified non-coding RNA, 326 nt
Filed under: fungal sp.
Lineage: Eukaryota; Fungi
Description: partial internal transcribed spacer region
Rfam family: Eukaryotic small subunit ribosomal RNA (bases 1-46)
Source: RNAcentral
AAGUCGUAACAAGGUUUCCGUAGGUGAACCUGCGGAAGGAUCAUUCAUGUGAACUUUUAUAACUGGUUGCAGUCGACCUGACUGCAAUCCAAACACCUUGCAACUAAGCUAUUAGUUGCAGUGCCUCGGUUCUGUGUUUUUCUUUUGUGGGCUGCGUUUUCUUUUAUCUUCAUUCCGUUUUCUAGCACAUUAAAACAGAGAUCAACGGUAAAAAGAAGUAAAAUGCUACCUAGAAUUUCAUACUCUUUUAAACUCAAACCAACACUAUCUCCAUAGUCAAUUUAUAAACCUAUAACAACUAUUAACGAUGGAUCCCUCGGCUCUCA